Molecule: ribosomal RNA, 511 nt
Filed under: uncultured marine bacterium
Lineage: Bacteria
Description: bacterial SSU rRNA
Rfam family: Bacterial small subunit ribosomal RNA
Source: RNAcentral
GCUGGCGGCGUGCCUAAUACAUGCAAGUCGAGCGGAGAUUUGGGAGCUUGCUCCCAAAUCUUAGCGGCGGACGGGUGAGUAACACGUGGGCAACCUGCCCUGCAGACUGGGAUAACUCCGGGAAACCGGAGCUAAUACCGGGUAAUACAUCGCACCGCAUGGUGCAAUGUUGAAAGUUGGCUUUCGAGCUAACACUGCAGGAUGGGCCCGCGGCGCAUUAGCUAGUUGGUAAGGUAAUGGCUUACCAAGGCGACGAUGCGUAGCCGACCUGAGAGGGUGAUCGGCCACACUGGGACUGAGACACGGCCCAGACUCCUACGGGAGGCAGCAGUAGGGAAUCUUCCGCAAUGGACGAAAGUCUGACGGAGCAACGCCGCGUGAGUGACGAAGGCCUUCGGGUCGUAAAGCUCUGUUGUUAGGGAAGAACAAGUACCGUUCGAAUAGGGCGGUACCUUGACGGUACCUAACCAGAAAGCCACGGCUAACUACGUGCCAGCAGCCGCGGUAAUAC